CUGAGUGGCGCAGCCAACGCGAUAAGUCCACCGCCUGGGGAGUACGGCCGCAAGG
Molecule: ribosomal RNA, 55 nt
Filed under: uncultured Eubacterium sp.
Lineage: Bacteria; Bacillati; Bacillota; Clostridia; Eubacteriales; Eubacteriaceae
Description: partial 16S ribosomal RNA
Source: RNAcentral